This 92-nucleotide transfer RNA is filed under the name Daldinia decipiens. RNAcentral's name for it is "tRNA-Glu". It matches the Rfam family "tRNA". From Rfam's summary of the family: Transfer RNA (tRNA) molecules are approximately 80 nucleotides in length. Their secondary structure includes four short double-helical elements and three loops (D, anti-codon, and T loops). Lineage: Eukaryota; Fungi; Ascomycota; Sordariomycetes; Xylariales; Hypoxylaceae. The record is from RNAcentral.
UCCGAAUUGGUGUAGUGGCUAACAUUUGACGCUCUCAAAAGCCUUCUAGCUGAAGGACCGUCAAGCCCGGGGUUCGAUUCCCCGAUUCGGAG